This 482-nucleotide ribosomal RNA is filed under the name uncultured bacterium. RNAcentral's name for it is "partial 16S ribosomal RNA". It matches the Rfam family "Bacterial small subunit ribosomal RNA", at positions 30 to 507 of the family's 1533-position model. The record is from RNAcentral.
AUUGAACGCUGGCGGCAUGAUUUACACAUGCAAGUCGAACGGUAACAGGCCGCAAGGUGCUGACGAGUGGCGAACGGGUGAGUAAUGCAUCGGAACGUGCCCAGUCGUGGGGGAUAACUACUCGAAAGAGUAGCUAAUACCGCAUACGAUCUUUGGAUGAAAGCGGGGGACCGUAAGGCCUCGCGCGAUUGGAGCGGCCGAUGUCAGAUUAGGUAGUUGGUGGGGUAAAGGCUCACCAAGCCAACGAUCUGUAGCUGGUCUGAGAGGACGACCAGCCACACUGGGACUGAGACACGGCCCAGACUCCUACGGGAGGCAGCAGUGGGGAAUUUUGGACAAUGGGCGCAAGCCUGAUCCAGCAAUGCCGCGUGCAGGAAGAAGGCCUUCGGGUUGUAAACUGCUUUUGUACGGAACGAAACGGCUCUGGUUAAUACCCGGGGCUAAUGACGGUACCGUAAGAAUAAGCACCGGCUAACUACGUG